Molecule: long non-coding RNA, 562 nt
Organism: Budorcas taxicolor (takin)
Lineage: Eukaryota; Metazoa; Chordata; Mammalia; Artiodactyla; Bovidae
Exons: 5
Source: RefSeq, a predicted model, not a curated record
AGGCCUAAAGUGGCCUCUGUCCUCUCAGGCCGCGAGUUUCCUGCUCUGCAGGCUCUUCUAGCAGAGUUUAUCCACGCAAACUUUCAGUAGCCGUUGAAAAGGAGAGGAAGGCACAGUAAAAGGAAGUGAUUGUUGAAGGACACACCAGCUCUGAGAGAAUCCUCUUUCCACCAUCUGUUGAAGAAAACUGCUUGAUAGCAGCUGCAGAAACUGCAUAUCAAGAGUGCCAGGGCAAGACAAGAGGAUGGCCAGCAGGCAGUAGCCAAUUUGGAGCAGGACUGGGGAGGCAAGUCAACAGGAAGAGGACUUGCAAUGCAGAACAAGUACCAAAAGCGUUGAUGGUAAUUUCAAGAUGGAAUCUUGGAAACAUGGAGCUUCUAAGAGCAAGAUUGGCCAAUGGAAGGCACUAGACAGAGGUGCUGGAGAAGGCGAUGGCACCCCACUUCAGGACUCUUGCCUGGAAAAUCCCAUGGAUGGAGAAGCCUGGAAGAGAAAAUGUAGACAUGCAAAAGAGAUACCAGGAGUUUAUGUGCCUGGAGGACAUGUGAGGACAUGUGAGGAC